RNAcentral lists this small RNA (2739 nucleotides) under Plasmodium adleri (nom. inval.). Its description in RNAcentral is "Plasmodium sp. gorilla clade G2 ncRNA". The record is from RNAcentral. Lineage: Eukaryota; Apicomplexa; Aconoidasida; Haemosporida; Plasmodiidae.
UAAGAUAUUUAAAUGAAAAUAUUUAUUUGAUUAAUUAAUGAACAUUUGUAUAUAAAAAAAAUUAAAUAAAUUUUGAUGAGAAAAUUUAUAUUCCAUGUAUUUCUAUUCCUUACCUUUGUAGCUUUAUAUAUAUAUAUAUAUAUAUAUAUAUAUAUAUAUAAUUAUAGAGGUAAGAAACAUGUAAGAAAUAAUUAACAUAUAAUGUAUAUAUAUUUCUUUUGUUGCACGAUUUUAUAUCCAUUAUAUUAUAUAUAUGGUUUAUUAAAUAUUUUUGUUAUUUUUAUACUUUAUUUUUGAGGAAUACAUAUGUAUUCUUAUAAAGUACAAAAUUUUACUUAUAUAAAAUUUAAUUUUUAUGUUAUUACAUAUAUGUGUUUUUAAUUUUUUAAUUUUUUUGUAGAUAAAUGUAUAUAUAUAUAUAUAUAUAUAUAUAUAUAUAUAUAUAUAUAUAUGUGGGCAUAAAAUUUAUAUAUAUUAUUAUGAUAUAUGACGCUAUCAGUUUUUGGUGCAUAUAUCUUAGCAUGGCCAUCCUUCAAAAGUGUUUUGUAGUUGAAAAAAUGCAUGAAAAUAUAAAAAUUUCGAAAAAAAAAAUACAAUUUUAAAAUAAACAAACAUGAUUGGUGCUGUGCAUCGCUUCAUGAAGAAAGAGGAGAAAUAUCACGAAUAAAUUCAAUUAGUGUUUUUCGAUGAAGUAUUAUAAUAUAUAAGAAAAAAAAAAAAAAAAAUAUGUUCAAUUUUUAUUUUCUUUUUUAAUUUUUUAAUAUUUAUAAUUAAUUCACUCUUUUGUUCAUAAAAUUUCCCAUUUUCAUUAAAAAUUUCUGUUCUUUUGGAUUGUUCGAUAAGAAAGAAAAUGUUUAAGAAAUAAAUAAAUCAACAUAAUAAUAUAAUAUAUUUCUGAAAAAAAUUAUAUAAAAGUUGAGUAUGGAGAGAUAUAUAGUAUAUUCCAAAUAUAUGUAUAGUCUCAAAGGUUUUUAUCCAUAAAAAAUAAAACAUGUUUGUUUUAUAUAAUAAAUCAACGUUUUUUAUACAUCUAAAUGUUAAACAUAUAAUGGAUAUUCCAUUUAAUAAUAUUCCCCCUCCCUCUUUUAUUCUGAGUAAUAAAUGUAACAAAGAAGUCUUGAUGAUUACUAAUAAUUGUAUAGAAAAAAUAUUUAUGAAUAUAUAUAUAUAUAUAUUUGUUUAUGUGUGUAAGAUGAGGCAUUUGUAUAAUAAUUUUUUUUGUAUAAACAUUUUUACCAUAUAAAUAUAUAUAUUUAUAUAUUUAUAUAUAUAUUUUUUUGUCUUUAUAGUAAUUAAAUGUAUUACACAAUUAUAUAAUAUUUAGUUAUAAAGUAUAUAUUGUGUAUACAUCAUAAGAUAGCGUUCUAUAUAUAUAUAUUAUGUAAGAAUAAAAGUGGAGGAAAUGUUAUUACGUGUGUAUAUAAUAAAUAUUGUGUGUAAUACAUGAUAGUUAUGUGUGUAGCCCUUUAUGUUUAAAAGCCUUGUAAAGGUUUAACGCGCCUUUAAAGGUGGGGAAGUAAAUAUAUUUUAAUUGUUCGGUUUAAUUUUACUGUUCAAGAGGAUGAAUAUAUAAAGAUCUUCUAUUUCGUAAGAAAUAUUAGGUUGAACUUAUCUCUUAUUAAUUAUCAUAUGAUAUAAAUAUAGACUAGUUUCUUUUAUGAGCUAGUUUAUAUUUAGCAUGUGAUAAUUAUUAUGAAAAUGGUCGUAUGUUUGGUUAAAAUCCUUUGAAGUGUGUGACGAGCCUUUAAAGGUAGAGGUGUAAAUAACAUAUUUUGAUCUCUUCCUGUGUUGAUCAUAAUUUCCUCAUUAUAUUUCUUAAGAAUAUUUUGUAGGUUACUUCUUAAUUAAUCAAUAUAUAAAUGUAUAUAUUAUGAUGUAGUUAUAUGUUUAUAGCAUGUCGUAUAUAUACUAUUAUAGAGGUGAUUGAAAAAAUACGGUAUAUACUUAGAGGGGAUCUAGGUAAAAAAUAGAAACGGAUAUAAUUAUUUUAAUAAUUAUUGAAAUCCUUAUACAGGCUUGGACGUGCCUAUAAAGGUGGGGUGCAUACAUAUAUUUAUAUAAAAGGAUAUAAAUAUAUCUAGUUUGUUAAAUAAAAUGAAUAAUAUAAAAUUUGUUUUUUUUUAUUUAAUAAAUCUAGGAUGUACUUUAAGGUUGAUUUAUGAUCUUUACAAUAAUAUAUAUAUAUAUAUAUAUAUAUAUAUAUAUGUAUUAUAAUGUGGUGUAAACUUAUCAUUAUGAUAUUUUAUGUAUAUUGUUAUUAUGGGGUGAUUUCCUAUCAUAUAUAAAGCACAUAUAUCAACUGUAUAAGAUAUAACGUUCUCCCUUUGACUAUAAAAAGCCUCGAGGGUAUAACGCGCCAAGAGGGGUGGAGGAUAACUAAAUUUGAGUUUUUAUUAUGAAGGAAAAUAAACGUUUCUCAUAUAAAAGCACACAUAUAUAUAUGUAUAUAGAUAGUAGUCUUUUUAUCAAAUUGUUAUGUUAUUCUUCGAGUCGUUUGCGAAUAUAAAUAGUUUAUUUGUAUUUUUUUUUUUUUUUUUUUUUUUUUUUUUUUUCUUAUAUACGAAUAUUGAAGACAUUAAAAUGUAUUAUAUUUUUAGUACAUUUUUAUGUGAAAUUGCAAUUAGUAGUAUUGAGGAAAAAGAAAAAAAAAAAAAAGAAGGGAAAUCCAAAUAAAAUAUAUAUUAGUAGUAUUCAACAGGAAGUCGGUAUGUUCAAUAAAUAAAUUCUUUUUGAGGUUUA